AGUGGGAUAGCUGGGUCAAAUUGUGGUUCCAUUCCAGGUUUUGUGAGGAAUCUCCAAACUGCUUUCCAUAUUGGCUGCACAAUUUUGCAGUCCCACCACCAAU
Molecule: microRNA precursor, 103 nt
Filed under: Marmota monax (woodchuck)
Lineage: Eukaryota; Metazoa; Chordata; Mammalia; Rodentia; Sciuridae
Source: RNAcentral